ACCGCCCGUCACAUCACGAAAGUGGGUGAUACUAGAAGUCGUUUCGCCAACCCGCAAGGGAGGUAGACGCCCAAGGUAUGACUCAUGAUUGGGGUG
This 96-nucleotide ribosomal RNA is filed under the name uncultured bacterium. RNAcentral's name for it is "partial 16S ribosomal RNA". It matches the Rfam family "Bacterial small subunit ribosomal RNA", at positions 1389 to 1482 of the family's 1533-position model. The record is from RNAcentral.